CAGCGCCGCGGGAAUACGUAGGGUGCAAGCGUUAAUCGGAAUUACUGGGCGUAAAGCGUGCGCAGGCGGUUAUAUAAGUCAGAUGUGAAAUCCCCGGGCUCAACCUGGGAACUGCAUUUGAGACUGUAUGGCUAGAGUGUGUCAGAGGGGGGUAGAAUUCCACGUGUAGCAGUGAAAUGCGUAGAUAUGUGGAGGAAUACCGAUGGCGAAGGCAGCCCCCUGGGAUAACACUGACGCUCAUGCACGAAAGCGUGGGGAGCAAACAGGAUUAGAUACCCCAGUAGUCCCUGUCUCUUAUACA
Molecule: ribosomal RNA, 301 nt
Filed under: uncultured bacterium
Lineage: Bacteria
Description: partial 16S ribosomal RNA
Rfam family: Bacterial small subunit ribosomal RNA
Source: RNAcentral